GAGUUUGAUCGUGGCUCAGAACGAACGCUGGCGGCGUGCCUAACACAUGCAAGUCGAGCGGGAAAGUUCCCUUCGGGGAGCGAGUACAGCGGCGAACGGGUGAGUAACACGUAGGUAACCUACCCUGGAGACUGGGAUAACCUGCCGAAAGGCGGGACUAAUACCAGAUAAGACCACGAGGCUGCGGCCCUUGGGGAAAAAGAUGGCCUAUGCUUGCAAGCUAUCACUCCGGGAUGGGCCUGCGCGCCAUUAGCUAGUUGGUGAGGUAACGGCUCACCAAGGCUGAGAUGGCUAGCUGGUCUGAGAGGAUGGCCAGCCACACUGGGACUGAGACACGGCCCAGACUCCUACGGGAGGCAGCAGUGGGGAAUAUUGCGCAAUGGGCG
Molecule: ribosomal RNA, 386 nt
Filed under: uncultured Bacillus sp.
Lineage: Bacteria; Bacillati; Bacillota; Bacilli; Caryophanales; Bacillaceae
Description: bacterial SSU rRNA
Rfam family: Bacterial small subunit ribosomal RNA
Source: RNAcentral